Molecule: long non-coding RNA, 2526 nt
Organism: Acinonyx jubatus (cheetah)
Lineage: Eukaryota; Metazoa; Chordata; Mammalia; Carnivora; Felidae
Exons: 3
Source: RefSeq, a predicted model, not a curated record
GUGUCUGAGCCGAGGAAAAUAUCGAUGGGGAUAGGAAGUCAAGACCAUGGCUAAAAAUAGAACACAACUGAGCAGCCCAUGAGGGCUAAUUAGCUUGCCCUGUCGGCAUUGAAACUUGGACUUGGAACUUCCCGGUGGUCACGGUAUCUUGACGAAACGCACUGUCCUCACCCCCCGAUUUCUGCUAUCAGAGUCGCAGGAUAAAUGAGGUUGUGGCGAGCGGGGACGUCCAAAAUUCUAGGUUGUGACCCAGAGCAUACCCAGUCCCCAUUCCCAACCCCCCGCAUAGGUGUGUACGUGCAUACGUACUUACGUUGUUACCUAUGCAUAGACAGAUACAGUCUGUCUCACUCUAUAUGCCUUUACAUAUUUAUUUAUUUAAGUAAUCUCUCUACCCAACAGGGGGGUCGGACUCCCGACACCGAGGUCAGGAGUUUCACGCUCUCCGGACUGAGCCAGCCAGGUGCCCCUACAAUCUAUAUAUUUUCAGAAAUAAUGUUUAACCUUCCACGCAAAGCGCACUCCGACAUUUUCUCCCUCGGACUGCCCAAUCUGUCCUAGCCUGCCCUAUCCUCGCCCAUCCUAUCCUAUUUCAUACCACUUUAUUUUAUUUUCUAUUUCUUAAUGCAACUCGCAGACCAUUAACAUGAUUUCAUUGGCCGCUACGGCGUUGCAAUCCGCAUUUUGAAAAUCACUGACCUAGUCGUGGAAAGGAAGGUAUCUGCUGCACCUUGUGAAUAUCUAUUGAGUGGCGGACGGUGAAUGAAUGAAAUCAGUUCAGUCCAGCCUGUAAUUAUUUUGUACUCUACUAUUAUGUAUGAUUAUGUGUGCCAGGUACUGGGAUGCAGUUAUGAACACGUUCAGCCCCCUGGCCUUGAGUCCACCUCUCAUCGGGGAAGAGGGAGGUCCUGAGAGGCAGUGACAAGACGGCGUGACCCCUCUUCCACAGAGGUGAGGCAGGUGCCAUGGGUGCACAGCUAAGAAGCCAGUGGCCCUUCCGGGAUGGAAGGUGAGAGAGGGAACAGGGAACCCUCCACCAAGUACAUCAAGGAGCCACCAGAAAAGGGAUGUGAAAUUCGUGAUUUUUUUAAUGUUUAUUUAGUUUUGAGAGAGAGAGGCAGAAAGAGAGGGAGACACAAAAUCCGAAGCAGGCUCCAGGCUCCGAGCUGCCGGCACAGGGCCUGAUGUGGGGCUUGAACCCACGAACCUCGGGCCCACCACCUUUCAGGGCAAUCAUGAGAAGUGACUGCAGAUGUCUGAGCUGGGGAAGAAGUCUUCCAAAACCUCCUCGAGCCAUAAAUAGAGUCUUUCUUUCUUCCUUUUCUUAACCCCCCUUUUUUUUUGUCCUUUAAGGGUAUUGCUUUUCAUAUUUUUACCUCCAGCUGUCUCGAUGGUAUUUCAACCUUUUUUAUAUUUUUCUAAGUCUUGUAUUUAACGUGCCCUGGAAAUGGUCAUCGAAUAUGAAAAAAUCAGAUCUCAAACUUCUGCGUUAGGAACGGAGGGACGCAGAGUCAAGGUUUUUUUGGGGUUUUUUUUUUUGUUUUUUUUCUCUUUUGAGUGCAUGGACUUUUGAUAUAUGGAAUGAAGACGAUUGUGUCUGAUUGCAUCUGUAAUGAACCCUCAUAAUUUUAGAUUAGGGUUAUGUGGACGUCCCAACUAAUGGGCAGUAGAUUGUGUGGAUAUAAUUCUAGCCUAUCAUACUUUUUCUUCAAUAUCAAUUACUUUGAAUGCUUAAAUAUCCAAUUUCCUGAGAUUUUUAUUGUUCCAUUUUCUUGUUAAGUGACCCUCCCUCCUCCCCACGCCCCCAGUUUAAGUUGCUAAAGCAAUGAGCUAUGAGUUCUGGCAGCCUGAAAGGAGCAGGAGUGGAGAGCCCAGGUUCAGUGAGGGAAUGGUGUAUGGUGCGGAGUGUCUGGAAUAUUCUAUGACAAAUGCCGCCAGAGGUUAGAGACUCAGAUCUUUUCCCCAGCGCUCAGACAGAAUUGGAAAAGAGGAAAAAAUAAAGACAGGUUUAAUUAACCUGCCAAAAAGAAAAAAAAAAUCACAGAAUGUCUGUGCGUGAGAUUAAGAGCAAAUCUAAUGAUGAAAGGGAUUGGAAGGGGGGAUGAUUAGGCAUAUUUCCUAUUCAGUCAACUAAUAUCACUGAAUCUCCUUAGAAUCAAGUCAUCAAAUUAUUUUGGCUUUGGGGUUGCCGCAGCACGGAGAACUCCUGCAGGUGGAAUCUGACCGAAAGGAAAAGUCAAGGUCACCAGCCCUCAUCUGCAGUCUCCAGGCAAAUGCACGGCUGGAGACGGAGACAGGACCUUCCCAACCCUCCUUGGGUCCAGGUGGGGCCACAUGCUUGGGUUCGUCAGUGGACAACGAACGGCCGUGAGGGCAGCCAUUUCCAGGACGUGGCCCCGGCAGAGGGGAGAGCCACACGAUGGAAGGCGCCCUGGUGCCCAAACAUGGUGUAGAAGAAUCUUCCAGACCCACCCACCCAGGAAGCGACGUGGGCGGGAGCUGACCUGAAUGGUGUAGGCACCCUGA